RNAcentral lists this ribosomal RNA (468 nucleotides) under uncultured bacterium. Its description in RNAcentral is "partial 16S ribosomal RNA". It matches the Rfam family "Bacterial small subunit ribosomal RNA", at positions 28 to 507 of the family's 1533-position model. The record is from RNAcentral.
GACGAACGCUGGCGGCGUGCUUAACACAUGCAAGUCGAACGGAAAGGCCCUGCUUUUGUGGGGUGCUCGAGUGGCGAACGGGUGAGUAACACGUGAGUAACCUGCCCUUGACUUUGGGAUAACUUCAGGAAACUGGGGCUACUACCGGAUAGGAGCUCCUGCUGCAUGGUGGGGGUUGGAAAGUUUCGGCGGUUGGGGAUGGACUCGCGGCUUAUCAGCUUGUUGGUGGGGUAGUGGCUUACCAAGGCUUUGACGGGUAGCCGGCCUGAGAGGGUGACCGGCCACAUUGGGACUGAGAUACGGCCCAGACUCCUACGGGAGGCAGCAGGGGGGAAUAUUGCACAAUGGGCGGAAGCCUGAUGCAGCAACGCCGCGUGCGGGAUGACGGCCUUCGGGUUGUAAGCCGCUUUCGCCUGUGACGAAGCGUGAGUGACGGUAAUGGGUAAAGAAGCACCGGCUAACUACGUG